AUGUCCGACCCCUUUUGUAAGUUAUGCCGACUAUCUAUGUGGUAUCUGUCGUGCUCCUUUCAUUAUGCAUGUUUCAUCAUGAAUGACUCUUGUCUAUGCAAAUCUCUCAAUACUGAACUACCCCUGUUAUAUAUUAGCAGGAUGGUUAGACCAGCUGGUCGUGGUCGUGGUGGCAACUUCCCACCACCGCCUGAGUACAUGGCUGGUAUGAUCCAACAGCUUGAGAUGAAUCGCCAGUUCAUGGAAAACGUGAUGGCUCAGUUUCCUCGCCCCAAUAUGAACCAACAUCCAAACACAACAACUCUGCAGGAUUUCAUACGCCUCAACCCAAGUGUGUACCACAGCUCAACCCAGCCGCUGGAUGCUGAUGAUUGGCUCCGUGACAUCACCUAUGAAAUGGAGUCUGCUGAUGUAGCCCCUGCCAGCUAUGUCACUUUUGCUUCCUUCUUCCUGAAGGGACCCGCAGCUCAAUGGUGGGACAGCCAUAGGCGUACUCUGCCAGUUGGGACAAUCAUCUCCUGGCCAGACUUUCAGGCUGCCUUCCGUGCCCGCUUCAUUCCUCAGGGAGUCAUGGACCGGAAGAAGCGUGAGUUUCGCAACCUCACCCAAGGCAACAAGACUGUUGAAGCUUAUCAGCGGGAGUUUCUGGACUUGUCUCGCUAUGCUGAAGAGGACAUUGCAACUGAUGCACAUAGGCAGGAGAAGUUCCGUGACGGCCUUCAAGCUGACAUCAAGCUCGCACUUCUAGUGCACGACUUUGCUGAUUUCGCCACCUUGGUGAAUAAGGCCAUCAAUGUUGAGACUGGUCUUCAAGAACACCAUAGCUCUCAAAGGCGCAACCGUGACACGGGCUCAUCUUCGGGCCCGCCCUCGCAGAAGCGUAAGAUAUGGAUCCCGAACAGCAUGUACCGUCCAAAUGCACCAGCCCCAAGGCAGUCUUACGCUACACCUCGUCUGCCUACUGCUCCAACUAGGCUGCCAAGGCUUCCAGCUCCGCCACCCCAAGCUCCUGUUCCCACUCCCAAUAAUGGCCUGUGCUACAAGUGUGGUCAACCAGGUCACCGUGCUAGGGAUUGCAUUCAGAAUCAGAAUCAACUGGCCCUUCCAGCCGCUGGCCGUGGAAACAACCAGGCCCGCAACAACAAUGCCAAGUCUUAUGGCCGUGUUCAUGCCAACCACAUUGAUCUGAAUGAAGCUCAAGACCAGCCUGCUACUGUGAUGGGUACACUCCUCGUAAAUUCAGUACCAGCAUCCGUUUUAUUUGAUACAGGUGCAUCGCAUUCAUUCAUGUCAGAAGAAUUUGCAUACAAGCACGAUGUUAAAUUUGAGCAGAUGAACACUUCGGUAGUGGUAAAAACCCCCGCGGGACAAUGUCAGACCUCCAUGGUUGGCAU
RNAcentral lists this ribosomal RNA (1394 nucleotides) under Triticum aestivum (bread wheat). Its description in RNAcentral is "partial small subunit ribosomal RNA". The record is from RNAcentral. Lineage: Eukaryota; Viridiplantae; Streptophyta; Magnoliopsida; Poales; Poaceae.